UUAAACUCAAUAUGUAAUGAGCUUUUGUUUAGGUUUGGGUUUAUGUUUAGAUUGUCACUUUCAAUGCUAGGAUCAUAACAUAAAUGGAAAAUUUUGAAAAUUUUUAGCACAAACUAUUUGAAAAUAUAUUUCUUUUAAUUUUUUAUUUACACCAUCUGUUACAUUUUUACAUCAAUUUUUUAGUAAUUUAGUAUUACAACCCAUGCAUAUAAAAAAUAUAAUUUUUUAAUUAACUUUUUAAAAUGAAUUAUUUCUUUGACUCUUUUUUUAAUACUAUAAAUUGUUAGCCAUACAAGACUAGAAUGAUAUUUAGUUAAAUUCUUCAUUUAAUGUUGAUUUGAGUUGUCUUGUGAUUUGGCAAAACAAUUCAUGAUCAUGAUAGUGGUGCUCAAUGUUUUCCUAUUCAAUCUGAUUCUGAAACUGUUGGAGAUUCUGUUAUUCAAAACCUUGUUGGGAAUACCAUUGUUUGUGCUUUUUCUAUGCAAUUAAUUUAGUCUUAAUGGCAUGUUAGCUUUUAAACAUUUUGCCAAGAUCGUGGGGCUGUUGUCAGUAACUUAGUUGGUGCUGAAGGAUAUGAUUUAGAAUGCAUAGAUUGGUAUCUUGGAAGGUUAUGGCCUUCAGUAGCCUGAUGCUGAAGCCAACACUAAAUCCAUAUUUGUUAUAACCAGUACCACCUUCACCCUGGCCGAGACAACAUCAAACAACACGGCUCCUGCCAUAAUGAAAUGUUUCCCACCAUCAUUACUGGCAUUUUUGGUUUUGCAUUAACAAUGCUGUCAUUGCUGACAUUCUUAUCUGCUUUCAGUACUACCAGUACCUUUAAAAAUUUCUUUAGUAUAUCUCCACCACCUUGUCUGGUGGCUUGCCACUACCACAGGCACUAGAAAAGCUGUUGCCAUUUAAAAUCUAAUUUCAUUGUGAGCCUUGUGAUUGUGACUAUGGUUUCUUAUCUCAGAAUUCAAGUAUCAAGUUUGAUUCCAAGAUCAAUCAAUUAGCUCUUGUCAUCAAAGUUUUAAUUUACUGACCAUUUCAUAAACAUGAAAUUUAUCCUAUAUACAACACUGUAAAUUUAAUCUUGGGGGUAGUUACCUGUGGAUCCAUUCCUAUUCCUAAGUUAGGGUGCUGUUGUGGGGUGGGGGCCUCCUGAGAAGUAAAACAGUUGAAUAUUAAUUUGAGGCAGUGUUGAUGUUUGGCCAUAUGUUUUGCCAUGUCCUCUACUGUUAUGAGUACUUUUUCCCCCCAGUGAGACUGAAACUUAUUGUUGAUUGGGUCUUGAAUUUGGUAUGUGUUCUCUGAAACCUUGUCCUGACUUGCAUAUCUGUACUUGGCAAAAAGGAAAUAGUAAAGAAGAGGAAACAUUUAAAUGAAUUUUAAGCUUGCAAAUAUAAUAAACAUUGUUAAACAGGUUUCGAAGGACAGUCUGAUGUCACCACUGUUUGAAUAUUGGCAAGUAUCUAGGAUAAUUUUAGGUUCAUGUAAAAUAUGCAACGAUUUCACCUCAUGUUCAUGGACGUUAGCAAUUAUUUUUGACCAGAUUCAAGCUGCUAGAAGCCAAAUCUUUUGAUAAAAUUGUAAAAACUCUGCCUUGAUGAAAGACUUUCAUUAUCACAGCUUUAAAUUGAAAUUCAGUUAACAUCUAAGCACCAUUUGGAUAAUAACUAAUCAGGUAUCAGCACACCACUGAGUAUGUCAAAAAUUCUGUAUCUGAUUUUAAUAGUUAACAUUAUUUGGAAUUUGUGGUUGAAGUCACUGCUUUUGAAUACUGAUUAGGUAAUAUGAAAAUAAGAUAUUACAAUGACUGUUUAGAAACUUGUUGACUAAUAGUUUGGGGCUGAUUUUUUUUUUCCUUGUAUUCACUUCUUGGUAUUUAUUUGAUUUUGAUAUUACACCAUGUAGGUAGUUAUUUCCCAGAUGAAUGGACAAGAUCAUCCAUCACAUUCUGUUCACACAUUUAAUGUGGGAAAAAUGAGGAUAAAGCUCUGUAGAGGGUGGAUUACAAAGGCUAGAGAAAUUUAUUCUGCAUCUAUGCAGUUAUGUGGAGUUCGAGCUAAUGGUAAUGCUGCAGCAAAGGCGUUAUUCUGGCAACCGAGGAAGGGUCUUUCAUUUGUAUUGACAUUUGAAUCAGAACGAGAAAGGAAUGCAGCCAUAAUGAUUGCCAGGAAAUAUGCUCUUGAUUGUAAUGUGAGUAUCUUUUUCUGUACUUUUUAUCUAUGCACUUAAAUUUAUUAAGCAUUAUCAGUUUUGCUUGUUUUUCCAUGCAUCCCAGUAAAAUUUCAUGCAAGGUCACUGAAUUUUCUGCUAAAAAGCUCCCUUCCCCAUUUUUAUCUUAGAGGUUCCAUGUAAAGCUUAUAUUGGCAUAAUUGUUUAUGUCAAUAAAUUCUGAUCAUGAACUUGAUGUUUGAUUUUUAGCUUCAUCAUCAUGAUGUUUUUACUUCUCAGCUCUGAUUUUAUGCUUCCAAACUUUCACAAAUAUGCAUAAAUUUUUCAAAGCUCUUAAAAUGGAUUUUCAUUUUCUGCACAAAUGCUUAUAGCUAAAUUUUAUGAGAUAAACUAGUAGUGAACCAGCUUAUUGUGCAAGAUAUUAUUUUAUUUUUAUUAAACUAUAUUUUUUAUUUUAUAUAUAUUUUGAAGUGUUUUAGUAAAGUUAAUCUAUUUGACAAUAAACAAUAUAUAUUUGGUGUGUGAGCUGGAGGACACUGGUUUGAGCCACAAAAACAGCCCCUUUGCAAAGCAGGGGUAAAGCUGCGUACAUAAACCUCUCUAGAACCCACAAGUGUGAAAUGUUUCGUGCAUUGAAUCACCCCUUUUUAUUUAUAAACUGUAACUUGGAAAAAAGAUCAGUGGGCUGUCCUUCGAUGGAAAAGGUGUUUUUAUCACUAAUCUGCCUACUCCUCCUCCUCCUUUUUAAUGUACUUAAUUACAAAUAUCUUUAACAUAUUACAAUGGUGGAAUGACAGGUGAUACUUGCUGGACCAGAGGAUCAAUUAUAGAACAAAAUGUAACUGACACAAGUGUUUUUACUUUACCAUGUGAGGAUAAUCAGGUUUAGAUAGUGUGGGAGUGAUUUGUAUGCGUGUUUGCACCAUGAUGAAGAGGAAUGCACCUUUAUUGUAUUGGUCUGCUAAGCUUGUUGCUGUCGUCUUAGGCAUCGUUUUUUAUUUGCCUAAUCUAUUGUAACAAAUUCAUCU
This 3188-nucleotide unclassified non-coding RNA is filed under the name Hevea brasiliensis (rubber tree). Lineage: Eukaryota; Viridiplantae; Streptophyta; Magnoliopsida; Malpighiales; Euphorbiaceae. The record is from RNAcentral.